AGCGAACGUUAGCGGCGGGCUUAACACAUGCAAGUCGAGCGAGAGAGUGACUUCGGUCAUGAGUAAAGCGGCAGACGGGUGAGGAACACGUAGGUAAUUUUCCGUUUAGUGGGGGACAACGGUCCGAAAGGACCGCUAAUACCGCAUACGUUCCUUGGGGCUUUGGCCCUGGGGAGGAAAGCUGGGCAACUGGCGCUAAAAUGAGAAGCCUGCGUCGCAUCAGCUAGUUGGUGGGGUAAUGGCCUACCAAGGCGAAGACGCGUAGCUGGUCUGAGAGGAUGAUCAGCCACACUGG
RNAcentral lists this ribosomal RNA (295 nucleotides) under uncultured bacterium. RNAcentral's name for it is "partial 16S ribosomal RNA". It matches the Rfam family "Bacterial small subunit ribosomal RNA", at positions 29 to 316 of the family's 1533-position model. The record is from RNAcentral.